UCCCUAAUAGCUUAGUUGGUAAAGAAUCUGCCUGCAAUACAGGAGACCCUGGUUUGAUUCCUGGGUCAGGAA
Molecule: non-coding RNA, 72 nt
Organism: Bos taurus (domestic cattle)
Lineage: Eukaryota; Metazoa; Chordata; Mammalia; Artiodactyla; Bovidae
Source: Rfam